CCCUUGCCUUUCUGUUGGCUUUUCUCUCUCGCCAAUCUCUGCUUCGAUCCGUCUUAUUUUGCCUUCUGUUCUUCUAAAAGCUUGCGUUCCUCUCAAAUCCUCUGUACUUUAUUUCACAAAAUAUUCACGAAAUUGGCCUUUAAAGUUUUAUCCUUUGUUGGAAAAUCCUGCGUUCCUUAUUUUUGUUUUUUGGGGAUUUCGUUUGCGGUCUCCGUUUUCAAAGAAGUCGUGCAUCCCUGUGAACGUAGAUUUGUUGACGUUCUGUGGAACUCAUAAAAUUGGUUUCCAAGGUUUUAUCUUGAACUUGCAAUUGCUGGGAAGACUUUGUCUCUUUUUGCGUCUGUCAUACCGGUGUUGUCGCCGGAUUUCCGACGAAUUUUCAGCCCAGCUUGGGAACGGCCUGUUUUCAGGUUAUUGUCCGAUAAAGUCCAUUGAACCCAGUGUUGUCGAGGCUUUGCUGGCUAAAAGAGGAUUCUGCCUUUGACGUCCUCUGUUGAAAAAUCUGAAAUUUGGCAGGAGCUGGAACCGAUGUUUUGGUUUCGUUGACCCAGCGAUGGCUGUGACAUGAAUAGAUCGCUACAUGAAUUAUCCGAGUAGAAAAAAUCAAACACCAGACAUGAUGCAACCAUUGGUGAUGGAACAAGCACAACCACCAUAAUGUGGUUUAAAUUCGUUUUUGUCGAGAAUCAAACCUAAAACUUCUCACUUACAAGUGAAGAAGAAUACUACUAGUGCUUAAUACUAACUGGUCCUUUCAAAUUUUAUUAUAUGUUAAACAUGAUUGAAAUUAGUAAUAAUAAAAGUUCAUUAUUUAAGCAUAUUGG
This 824-nucleotide small RNA is filed under the name Malus domestica (apple). RNAcentral describes it as "sRNA MD11G0085600". The record is from RNAcentral. Lineage: Eukaryota; Viridiplantae; Streptophyta; Magnoliopsida; Rosales; Rosaceae.